AUGUUCAUGAGGCGCCAGGCGACAAUACUGCUGCUGCACCGUCAACUGCUCCCACUAACUCUGAUAGGCAUCCGUACAUCGGGGAGUGACGAGUCAGUAUCUGCCAGGACAGCUGAAAUAUUGCCAACUCUUCUGGCAAUGAAGGAUGCUGCUGUGAGCCAUGCCACCCCAUCAGCAAGUGUUGAAGUGGACGCUCCCGAGACCAACCUAAGCAAGGAAUAUUCCCGCUCAUCUGACACUGAUUCCAAGUGUGUGCGUGGUGGCACUCCUGUGUCCACGACAGAAGCGGCUGAGGCGGCAGUUCACAAUGAUAUGCCAUCUACAGGUGAGAGUCUUGGCACAACAGGUCCAGCUCCUAUCGGUGCAGAUACUUCUAAGGCGACCGUUUCGCGUGCUAGUCUUCCACCUAGGCGUCAUAGCCCCCGCAAGCAAUCAACAUACAUACCCAAUGCACCGCCUGUUGCUAGGAGCAGUAGAGACGAGUCUGGUUAUGUCCCUGCGUCCAUACUGUUUCCCCCACCUGCCACAAGCAAUACGAUGGAGAAACCGGAAGACCGGAGCACAACUGAUGCAGGUGUCAAGCCGGGCACGAGUGACGCAGGUGAACGUCCGGAGCAGAGUACGCCUUUACCCGCAAUGGAAAUCCCCAACUUAAAUCUGUGCACUUCCAAGCUCCCAGUCAAUGUGGGUGUCCCAUACAGCCCAAACAAGAGGAUUGUCAAGAAAGCUGCGACUGAUACCGCUGACAAUACGCCCCGCCCUACAAAUAAGCCCGAUCAUUCUGUAGCGGCCGAUUCGGAUAUGUUUGUUGAUCUUUCACCCUUGGAUUCUGCCUCAUAA
This 840-nucleotide ribosomal RNA is filed under the name Triticum aestivum (bread wheat). Its description in RNAcentral is "partial small subunit ribosomal RNA". The record is from RNAcentral. Lineage: Eukaryota; Viridiplantae; Streptophyta; Magnoliopsida; Poales; Poaceae.